RNAcentral lists this ribosomal RNA (502 nucleotides) under uncultured bacterium. Its description in RNAcentral is "partial 16S ribosomal RNA". It matches the Rfam family "Bacterial small subunit ribosomal RNA", at positions 28 to 507 of the family's 1533-position model. The record is from RNAcentral.
GAUGAAUGCUGGCGGCGUGCCUAACACAUGCAAGUCGAGCGGCAGCGAGUUUUACACUGAAUUCUGGAAGCUUCUGAGUAGUACAGAAGAUUUAUUCAAGAGUUUUGUGUAAAAUGUCGGCGAGCGGCGGACGGCUGAGUAACGCGUAGGAAUUUGCCCCAAAGUGAGGAAUAACUGCCCGAAAGGGUAGCUAAUGCCGCAUAUGGUCUUCGGAUUAAAGCCUUCGGGCGCUUUGGGAGAAGCCUGCGUUGGAUUAGGUAGUUGGUAGGGUAAUGGCCUACCAAGCCGACGAUCCAUAGCUGGUCUGAGAGGAUGAUCAGCCAGACUGGAACUGAGACACGGUCCAGACUCCUACGGGAGGCAGCAGUGAGGAAUCUUCCACAAUGGGCGAAAGACUGAUGGAGCAACGCCGCGUGAAGGAUGAAGGCCUUCGGGUUGUAAACUUCUUUUAUGAGUGAAGAAUAUGACGGUAACUCAUGAAUAAGCACCGGCUAACUACGUG